GUGGAAACGAAAACAUGCCAAAUGGGUAAGUGAGGGUUAAAAGCGAAAGCUGCAAGAGGAGAGAGAAAGACAGAGACUGAAGGACUUGGUAAUUAGGCAGACGGCAACGUAUAGCACAUCAGUAUGCGGAGUAUGCAAAUUGACCGGCUGGCUUGCUCUCGCUCUUUUUUUUUUUUUUUUUGGUCAUGGAUCAAAAGGCAAAGAGCUGCAGAGAAGAAUUAAGAGCGAUUAUUCCACCCAAGGAAAAGCUGAUGUAUGCAAACGAGCAGCAGAAGGCGGAGCGCAAAGACCACUGUGCAACCAGAGAUAUACAGUGGACUUUACUGCAAGUACAAUCACACAAAUACAGCAUGAUUAUGCCUCACACCUUGGGGAGAUACUUAAAGAUUUGUGCUGGAAAUACCGAAGGAGAACACGACAAUCAGACAUGCGCCUUCAUUUCCCAUUACGCCUAUCUCCACUUAUUGAUAGGCUGCCUCGCGGAUGAUAAUUACCUUUUGGAAUAUUGAAAUGCGAAACGAGCCUCGGAAUGAAAGCACCAGACGGGAGGACAGAAAAAAGGAAAGAGCGGAGGUAUGCAAAGGCGCUAAUGAUAUUCACUGCGCUCACUGUGUCAUCUGCAUGACGACAACGGCCAAUUAUAAUGAACCAUUGGCUCUCCGCCACAAAUAAGUAGGAGAGAGGAGGUUGAAGAGGAGGGGGAGGGGUUAAAGAGGG
Thalassophryne amazonica is the source of this 717-nucleotide long non-coding RNA. RefSeq lists it as uncharacterized. The record is from RefSeq and is a predicted model, not a curated record. The transcript has 3 exons. NCBI's taxonomy places the organism in Eukaryota, Metazoa, Chordata, Actinopteri, Batrachoidiformes, Batrachoididae.